RNAcentral lists this ribosomal RNA (375 nucleotides) under Mephitis mephitis (striped skunk). RNAcentral's name for it is "partial 18S ribosomal RNA". It matches the Rfam family "Eukaryotic small subunit ribosomal RNA", at positions 1 to 330 of the family's 1831-position model. The record is from RNAcentral. Lineage: Eukaryota; Metazoa; Chordata; Mammalia; Carnivora; Mephitidae.
ACCUGGUUGAUCCUGCCAGUAGCAUAUGCUUGUCUCAAAGAUUAAGCCAUGCAUGUCUAAGUACGCACGGCUGGUACAGUGAAACUGCGAAUGGCUCAUUAAAUCAGUUAUGGUUCCUUUGGUCGCUCGCUCCUCUCCUACUUGGAUAACUGUGGUAAUUCUAGAGCUAAUACAUGCCGACGGGCGCUGACCCCCCUCGCGGGGGGGAUGCGUGCAUUUAUCAGAUCAAAACCAACCCGGUCAGCCUCUCCCCGGCCCCGGCCGGGGGGCGGGCGCCGGCGGCUUUGGUGACUCUAGAUAACCUCGGGCCGAUCGCACGCCCCCCGUGGCGGCGACGACCCAUUCGAACGUCUGCCCUAUCAACUUUCGAUGGUA